RNAcentral lists this long non-coding RNA (1071 nucleotides) under Delphinapterus leucas (beluga whale). RNAcentral's name for it is "lncRNA (ENSDLEG00000019089.1)". The record is from RNAcentral. Lineage: Eukaryota; Metazoa; Chordata; Mammalia; Artiodactyla; Monodontidae.
UUGUUUUAUAUCUUACAUUUAUAUUGCCUGGCUUUGUUCUUUUAAUUAACUUUUUAUCAGAGAGACUGUAUAUAUUUUUUUCUAAAUACUUUGUGAAAUAGUUUUCUGUAGCAGUAUCUCUGAAUUUGAUGAAUAAAAAGUGACUGUGAGUGCAAAUUAGAAUUAGUAGUAAGAAGCUACUAUACCUGAUUUGCCAUUUUACUUAAAUAGAAAAUGUUUUUCAAAUAAAUACUUAUGUUGUUUGUGAUCCAAAUUGUUCAAUUCCUUUAUGAGUGAAUGUUUUUAUUUCUGACUCUUAAAUAGGAAAAGAUUAUUUGACAACUGGAAAAUAACCUGGCAGCAAUUAAGCUAGUGACAUGGGGCUACUUUGCCAAAACACUAAAAAUGAAUAUUUUAGAAAGAUUCGGUUCACUGGGGAUUAAUGCAUUUUGAAGUUCUUAGAUUUUCUUAAGAUGACUGAUGCAAAGCCAAGCUCUGUGGCAAAUUAAAAGUAAUGUAGGUUUCCUUUUUGGGAAGUCUUCAGCAUCUUGAAAGGGAAACAAAUCAAUAAUACUACAUAGAAGUUAGGUCAUGGGAUAUUUUUUUUCACAUUUAUAGGAGGCUUAGAAAAUGACAGAAUUUAGCCAACUUGACUUGCAUGAGUAGAACAGAGCCUCCUCCCUUCCUUUUGCUGUGAUUAGUUAGGAUAACUCUCUUCUGCAGAGAGCCAAGGCCCACUCUGGCUCACGGCCCUACCCAGUGCUAAGCUGUGAGGCUUGUUGGCUGGUCACUGCUCACUCAGGUCUUCUGAGCCAACAUUCACAACUCCUGGCCAAGCCGUGUUAGGAAAACAGGCAAACGUUUGCUGAAGCUUCAUUUGCAGUUACAUACAGCAGGUUAAAGCUGAGGGAGGAGCAGUGAGAAGGAGCUGUGUUACAACGUUGUGCACGGUCCACAGAGGGAAAGAAGAAAACAGAUCAGCAGGAAAUACAAAGACAGCAAGCAAAACAGAUUCGACAGUUGCCAAGAAUGUGCCUCAGAUGGGCAAUUCAGGGUCUCUUGCUGGGUAAGUGAGAAAGACAAAACCAAUAG